GCUUAGCCUUAAGCCUUCAAUUACACCCCCAAACGCCAGGGAACUACGAGCAAAGCUUAAAACCCAAGGGACUUGACGGUACCCCACAUCCCCCUAGAGGAGCCUGUCCUUUAAUCGAUAACCCCCGUUCAACCUCACCAUCUUUAGCUUAUCAGUCUGUAUACCUCCGUCGUCAGUUUACCGCAUGAGUGUCUUAAAGUAAACCGAAUGUCCUCACCCGUCAACACGUCAGGUCAAGGUGCAGCUAACAAGAUGGGAAGAGAUGGGCUACACUCUCUAGUAUAGAGCACACAGAGAAUUUAUAUGAAACCCAAUUCAAAGGCGGAUUUAGCAGUAACAGGGGUAAUAGCGCCCCUUUUAAGCAGGCCCUGGGGUGUGUACACACCGCCCGUCACCCUCCUCGCAGCUCUCGAAAAAGUAUUUUACAUAACCCAGCAUUGUAGAGGAGGUAAGUCGUAACAUGGUAAGUGCACCGGAAGGUGCGCUUGGAAA
RNAcentral lists this ribosomal RNA (492 nucleotides) under Aplastodiscus arildae (Teresopolis treefrog). Its description in RNAcentral is "partial small subunit ribosomal RNA". It matches the Rfam family "Bacterial small subunit ribosomal RNA", at positions 794 to 1522 of the family's 1533-position model. The record is from RNAcentral. Lineage: Eukaryota; Metazoa; Chordata; Amphibia; Anura; Hylidae.